Molecule: ribosomal RNA, 430 nt
Filed under: uncultured fungus
Lineage: Eukaryota; Fungi
Description: eukaryotic LSU rRNA
Rfam family: Eukaryotic large subunit ribosomal RNA
Source: RNAcentral
GACCUCGGAUCAGGUAGGGAUACCCGCUGAACUUAGGCAUAUCAAUAAGCGGAGGAAAAGAAACCAACAGGGAUUGCCUCAGUAACGGCGAGUGAAGCGGCAACAGCUCAAAUUUGAAAUCUGGCCUUCUGGUCCGAAUUGUAAUUUGUAGAGGAUGCUUCGAACAUGGUCCGGUCUAAGUUCCUUGGAACAGGACGUCAUAGAGGGUGAGAAUCCCGUAUGUGACUGGGUGCCUAAGUUUAUGUGAAGCUCCUUCAACGAGUCGAGUUGUUUGGGAAUGCAGCUCAAAAUGGGUGGUAAAUUUCAUCUAAAGCUAAAUAUUGGCCAGAGACCGAUAGCGCACAAGUAGAGUGAUCGAAAGAUGAAAAGCACUUUGGAAAGAGAGUUAAAUAGUACGUGAAAUUGUUGAAAGGGAAGCGCUUGCAAUCAG